This 375-nucleotide ribosomal RNA is filed under the name uncultured bacterium. Its description in RNAcentral is "bacterial SSU rRNA". It matches the Rfam family "Bacterial small subunit ribosomal RNA", at positions 524 to 898 of the family's 1533-position model. The record is from RNAcentral.
UACGUAGGUGGCAAGCGUUGUCCGGAAUUAUUGGGCGUAAAGCGCGCGCAGGUGGGAUAUUAAGUCUGUCUUAAAAGUUCGGGGCUCAACCCCGUGAUGGGAUGGAAACUGGUAUUCUUGAGUGCAGGAGAGGAAAGCGGAAUUCCCAGUGUAGCGGUGAAAUGCGUAGAUAUUGGGAGGAACACCAGUGGCGAAGGCGGCUUUCUGGACUGUGUCUGACACUGAGGCGCGAAAGCCAGGGUAGUGAACGGGAUUAGAUACCCCGGUAAUCCUGGCCGUAAACGAUGGGUACUAGGUGUAGAGGGUAUCGACCCCUUCUGUGCCGGAGUUAACGCAAUAAGUACCCCGCCUGGGGAGUACGGCCGCAAGGUUGAA